RNAcentral lists this ribosomal RNA (371 nucleotides) under uncultured organism. RNAcentral's name for it is "bacterial SSU rRNA". It matches the Rfam family "Bacterial small subunit ribosomal RNA", at positions 527 to 896 of the family's 1533-position model. The record is from RNAcentral.
CGGGGGGGCAAGCGUUGUUCGGAAUUACUGGGCGUAAAGGGCGCGUAGGCGGCCUGCUAAGUCGGACGUGAAAUCCCCCGGCUCAACCGGGGAACUGCGUCCGAUACUGGUGGGCUCGAAUCCGGGAGAGGGAUGUGGAAUUCCAGGUGUAGCGGUGAAAUGCGUAGAUAUCUGGAGGAACACCGGUGGCGAAGGCGGCAUCCCGGACCGGCAUUGACGCUGAGGCGCGAAAGCCAGGGGAGCAAACGGGAUUAGAUACCCCGGUAGUCCUGGCCCUAAACGAUGAGUGCUUGGUGUGGCGGGUAUCGAUCCCUGCCGUGCCGAAGCUAACGCAUUAAGCACUCCGCCUGGGGAGUACGGUCGCAAGGCUG